GUGCUCGCUUCAGCAGCACAUAUCUAAAAUUGGAACGAUGCACAGAAGAUUAACAUGGCCCCUGCACAAGCAAAUUCGUGAAUCGUUUCAUAUUUUU
This 97-nucleotide small nuclear RNA is filed under the name Mus pahari (shrew mouse). The record is from RNAcentral. Lineage: Eukaryota; Metazoa; Chordata; Mammalia; Rodentia; Muridae.